GGGUGUAUUAUACGGCAUGUGAUUACAGUCUAAUAAAUAGUAUGUCCUGCUGUAUCCUUUAGGGACUCUGAGAAAUGGAGAGAGCUCCAUUUGAAGCCAGACUGAUUGGGUUCCGAUCCUGCUUCCAUUUUCCCCGCAGGUAACUCCUUCCUUAACAGCAUCACGGGGUGAUACUCCCUCUCCGGAAAGGUCAUUGUAAUUUUUAAAAACAUUAAAAACAUACACCAGGGUUAAUCAUGUGCAGUGUGUGAUACACAGACGCUCUGAAACACUACUGUACACACACACACACACACACACACACACACGCACAUGGCGCCUCUGGGGAGGUUCUGAAAGAACCAGAUCUGGAGGACUGAUCGUGUCCCUGGUCUCGGCCCUCGCCCUCCUUGUUUCUUAGACUCUAAAGCAAGCAGGCAGCAAUGCAGUCCUUGAAAUCCAGAGUCAAGAAAAAGCCCUGCACCCCUUGGUCCGAGAGCCGCAAGGAGCGGGGCCUAAGCGCCUGGCGAGGCCGCCCUACCCAGCAGAGGCAGUUGCUGUGUAACUCGGGGACCAGACACCCAGCCUCACCCGCUGCCGUUAACCGACAGCCGCAACGGUUCCCGCCCCGCCCAGGUCGGAGAACAAUGCUGCACCCUGCCCGUAGAGCCUCGCGGUGCCGCGCCCUGGAGCGGGCCUGCCGGGAAAUGUAGUUUCUAAAGCCCCGCCCUUGCCGCCCCGUGGCUCGCAGGCCGGGAGCUCCAAGCAACUACAAGUUCCAUCACGCUCUGCGAGGCCUUGAUCUCCAGGCUUUUGCAGGGAAGGGAGUGGGGCGAACAUGGCUGAAGGAAGCCGAGGUGUACCAACGUGUAGCCGGGUGGCUGGCAGGCAGGACUCAGUUUCCGGCAGUGGCGGCUGCAACUUUCCAGAGUAUGAGCUUCCCGAACUAAAUACGCGCGCUUUCCAUGUGGGCGCCUUUGGGGAGCUGUGGCGGGGCCGUCUGCGCGGGGCCGGGGACUUGUCGCUGAGGGAGCCGCCGGCGUCCGCUCUGCCUGGGAGCCGGGGGAUUGCGGACUCCGACCGGGAGGAUGCCGCGGUGGCCAGGGAUCUGGACUGCAGCCUGGAGGCGGCGGCUGAACUGAGGGCGGUGUGCGGCCUUGAUAAACUGAAAUGCCUUGAGGACGGUGAGGAUCCAGAAGUCAUUCCGGAGAAUACUGACCUGGUGACUUUGGGGGUUAGAAAAAGGUUCUUGGAACAUCGGGAAGAAACCAUUACAAUAGAUCGAGCCUGCAGACAAGAAACAUUCGUUUAUGAGAUGGAGUCACAUGCCAUAGGAAAAAAGCCUGAAAAUUCAGCAGACAUGAUUGAAGAAGGGGAGCUUAUCCUAUCUGUGAAUAUCCUGUACCCUGUUAUAUUUCAUAAGCACAAAGAACACAAACCAUACCAAACAAUGCUGGUGUUGGGCAGUCAAAAGCUCACAGAACUGAGGGAUUCAAUUCGCUGUGUCAGUGACCUCCAGAUUGGUGGUGAAUUCAGCAACACUCCUGACCAAGCCCCUGAGCACAUCAGCAAAGACCUAUACAAAUCAGCCUUCUUUUAUUUUGAAGGAACAUUUUAUAAUGAUAAAAGAUACCCAGAAUGCAGAGAUUUGAGCAGAACUAUCAUUGAGUGGUCAGAGUCCCAUGAUAGAGGAUAUGGAAAGUUUCAGACUGCUAGAAUGGAAGAUUUCACCUUCAAUGACUUGUGUAUUAAACUGGGUUUUCCUUACUUAUACUGUCAUCAGGGAGACUGUGAACAUGUCAUUGUCAUUACUGACAUAAGGCUUGUGCAUCAUGAUGACUGCUUGGAUAGGACACUGUAUCCCCUCCUUAUCAAGAAGCAUUGGCUAUGGACCAGAAAAUGUUUUGUUUGUAAAAUGUAUACAGCUAGAUGGGUGACGAACAAUGACAGUUUUGCACCAGAGGACCCAUGUUUCUUUUGUGAUGUUUGCUUCCGAAUGCUCCACUAUGAUUCAGAAGGCAACAAACUGGGGGAAUUCCUUGCUUAUCCUUAUGUUGAUCCUGGAACCUUUAAUUAAGAAUAGCUACACUCACGAAAGUACCCCCUCAUGAAAUAACUGUUCUCUUGGAUGGUUACCUUUUUUCUAAGAAACGCCACUGAGGAACAGGAUCCACUUUGAACAGUCUGCUAAAGCUACCAAAAAAAAUUCCAAAUCACAGAUUUUCUUAUAAUGAUUGUAUUUAAAUGUUUAUAACAUAGUUAAAUUUCAUAUUUAUUCCAAAGAGUAUUUAAUUUAGUGCUUUUUACCCAUUGAGUUGUAGUACUUUAUAUAUUCUGACUUUAAAUCCUUUGUCAGACACACAUAUUCUUUCUCCCAAUCCAUGCCUUCCCUAUUCAUUCUCUGUCCAGAGUGUUUUUUUGCUAAAGAUAGAAUUAAUGAUACAUCAAGUAGUGGAAGUGUUUUGAAAAUGCUUUGAAGAAUGUGAGAGCUACACCUUCUACCAUGAGGCUUCCAAGGUUGUAUUUAAAUUUGACUGAAAAAUGGAUGGCUAAGAACAGACAUUUAUAUAAAUGGAAAACUGACGAAACCUAUAAGCCUAUGUGUUUAAAAGAUUGACAGUGAAGUAUGUUUUAUGGACUUAAAUGCCACAAACAGUUAAGUCCGUUGGCUUGGAGAGGACAAACACGUGCUUCUGGUAUGUCUAGUGUUCUCAUUCACUGAUUCAGUCAGUAUGCAGAUAAUCAGUAUAGAGAACUCAGAGGCUGGCUUAUGUUAUACCUAAAUUUUUACUUUCUUGUAUACAACAAUGCUAAAAUUGAGCAGAUUGAUAACAGCCAGCAAACCAUAGAUUUAAGUUAAAUGAUUUACCCAACCCUAAAAUUCCAUGGGUAAAAAUUUUGAUUCCUUUAUUUGUAAUACUGCAUUCCUUAUAGGUCUUACAUGCAUAUGCAAGGAUAUUUUAUUCAUUUUCACUUCAUACUCUCAAACUUCAAAAAGUUAAGUAUUGUCAUAAUGCAUUAUUCCGUGUGUGGUGUCAAUUCAUUUUAGUGGACAAAGAAGAAACAUGCCAGUUAAAACAUUUCUGCUACUGGCAUUCUAUUAUUUGAGAAUGUUUUUCUGCUAGUUCUUAAGGUUAACCUUUUCAUCAAAGACUCAGGUACCUAUUUUUGUUUCCUGGUGAAACUGAGGAGAAAAGUUAACCAGGUUACUCCCAGUUUGCCCAUGUGUUAUGUAUCAGUUAUACAGGUAUCCAACCAAGUUCAAGUCAAAAGAAAUUGCUAACUUUGUAUAUUUCUGGAGCUAUAAAACCCCUGAUUUAAGACAGCUUUUCUCUUUUUUCAAGACAGCUUUUCUUUAUGCUUAUUUCAAUCAAAAUAACACACCUGUCAAAUUACAUGUAACACAUUAUCUAAUGAAGACAGGCAAAUGUGAAAAUGUUGUCAUGAACAUGUCAAUCAACGUGCUUGGUAGUUGAAUUUGACUUUUAUAUAACAGUGGAUGCACAUGCACAAAAGUCACCAGAGAAGCAAUAGCUAUUUCUUUAAACGUUCUUCAGGCCUCAGUACCGUUUAAGGAUAAUUAGACAUUUUAGUUUUACUAGGACAAAGGUCAUCUCUAACAUUGUGUUGCAGAAUUACACAGCCCAAACACACACAUUUCUGCCUAUUAAACCAGCUUCUUUGUUUCUAAAGAGUUUAAUGAUACGGGUUUGCUAUUUCCAUUAGAGCAUCCUUUCUCUGGCCAAUCGGACAAAAUAAAGUUAGCGAAGCCCUCACAGCACCCUAUGAAAAAUCUUUGCUCUUAUACAGGAUUAGAUGCAGACCUCAUCUUGACCUGACAUCUGUAACCAGGUGAGAAGAAAACAUCAGAAGCAGUUGAGCAACCAGGAAGUGGGUCCUCUAGGGAUGAGGAGGCAUUGUGAUGGAUGGCUUUUUAAAAAUGUUUAUCCAGAGUCAUCUGCCUCAUGAACAAUGGUUUCUGCCUUAGAAGUCUAGUAGAAAUUGACAUGAAUUUUUUGUUCUGAAUGUACACUGCUCUAGUCCUUCAAUAAGCCCAUCACAUUUUCACCAUUUUGCCUAUGUAUACUUUUUCUGUGGUGGUAACACUGAAACUAUGCAUCAAAGCCAUUUUUAAGAGCAGUCCUGGCAAAUGGUUCAAAAAACUGGCGUGAAAUUCUUGGCUUUUUAUCACAUACCUGUUUGUUCCUUUUCUAGCUUUUUGUUUGGCCCUUUCUUCCCUUGAUCUUUGGUUUUAUUCGCUUCCUCAUGCUGUCUUUGUUCAGCAAGAGAUUUAUUCAGCACUUGUGUGAUCACGGAAUCU
Non-coding RNA from Chlorocebus sabaeus (green monkey), 4300 nucleotides. NCBI's taxonomy places the organism in Eukaryota, Metazoa, Chordata, Mammalia, Primates, Cercopithecidae. The record is from RefSeq and is a predicted model, not a curated record.